Molecule: ribosomal RNA, 427 nt
Filed under: uncultured bacterium
Lineage: Bacteria
Description: bacterial SSU rRNA
Rfam family: Bacterial small subunit ribosomal RNA
Source: RNAcentral
UGGGGAAUUUUGGACAAUGGGCGAAAGCCUGAUCCAGCAAUGCCGCGUGUGCGAAGAAGGCCUUCGGGUUGUAACGCACUUUUGUCCGGAAAGAAAUCCGCCUGGCCAAUACCCGGGCGGGAUGACGGUACCGGAACAAUAAGCACCGGCUAACCACGUGCCAGCAGCCGCGGUACUACGUAGGGUGCGAGCGUUAAUCGGAAUUACUGGGCGUAAAGCGUGCGCAGGCGGCUUUGUAAGACAGAUGUGAAAUCCCCGGGCUCAACCUGGGAACUGCAGUUGUGACGGCAAUGCUAGAGUGCGUCAGAGGGAGGUGGAAUUCCGCGAGGAGCAGUGAAAUGCGUAGAGAAGCGGAGGAACACCGAUGGCGAAGGCAGCCUCCUGGGAUGACACAGACGCUCAUGCACGAAAGCGUGGGGAGCAAACA